Molecule: transfer RNA, 74 nt
Filed under: Vitis vinifera (wine grape)
Lineage: Eukaryota; Viridiplantae; Streptophyta; Magnoliopsida; Vitales; Vitaceae
Description: transfer RNA-Val
Rfam family: tRNA
About the family: Transfer RNA (tRNA) molecules are approximately 80 nucleotides in length.
Source: RNAcentral
GGUUUCGUCAUGUAGUUGGUUAUCAUAUCAGUCUAACACACUGAAGGUCUCCGGUUCGAGUCCGGGCAACGCCA